RNAcentral lists this small RNA (107 nucleotides) under Listeria booriae. RNAcentral describes it as "Listeria LhrC". It matches the Rfam family "Listeria LhrC". From Rfam's summary of the family: This RNA was identifed by screening for RNA molecules which co-immunoprecipitated with the RNA chaperone Hfq. However, neither the stability nor the activity of LhrC is depending on the presence of Hfq. LhrC is transcribed from the intergenic region between the protein coding genes cysK, a putative cysteine synthase and sul, a putative dihydropteroate synthase. Lineage: Bacteria; Bacillati; Bacillota; Bacilli; Caryophanales; Listeriaceae. The record is from Rfam by way of RNAcentral.
AUAAGCUAACAACAAGCAAAUAAUUUUCAUACUUUCCCUUAAGAAUGAAAAUCCCAAACUCCCUUUUUGACCAUCGCGGUUACUCCCUUUUCCGCGGUGGUUUUUUA